GACGAACGCUGGCGGUAUGCUUAACACAUGCAAGUCGAACGGACACUUCGUGCUUAGUUGCGGACGUGGGGUGAACAACGGAGAAUCAGCCUUUGGGUUCCGUGCAACCGCUUGAAACAGUGCCUAAUAACAGAGGGGCCGAGAGGGAAAAGGGGAAUUGCCUGAAGAGUAGCUCGCGUCUGGUUAGUUAGUUUGUGAGGGAAAGGCACACCAAGGCAGCUAUCAGUAGCUGGUCUGAGUGGAUGGCCAGCCACAGUGGGACUGAGACACGGCACAGUCUCCUACGGGAGGCAGCAGUGGGGAAUUUUCCGCAAUGGGCGAAAGCCUGACGGAGCAAUACCGCGUGAGGGAAGAAGGCUCUUGGGUUGUACACCUCUUUUCUUAGGGAAGAACAAAAUGACGGUACCUAAGGAAUAAGCAUCGGCUAACUCCGUG
RNAcentral lists this ribosomal RNA (435 nucleotides) under uncultured bacterium. Its description in RNAcentral is "partial 16S ribosomal RNA". It matches the Rfam family "Bacterial small subunit ribosomal RNA", at positions 28 to 507 of the family's 1533-position model. The record is from RNAcentral.